GCCCCAGUGGCUCAGCGGCUAGAGCGGAUGGCUGUUAACCAUCAGAUCGUCGGUUCGAAUAUUGGCGCCGAGGUGACAAUGCCUUGAACGCCAGUGAGAAUGUCCGACCUGGGGCG
RNAcentral lists this transfer RNA (116 nucleotides) under Nanobdellota archaeon. RNAcentral's name for it is "tRNA-Asn". It matches the Rfam family "tRNA". From Rfam's summary of the family: Transfer RNA (tRNA) molecules are approximately 80 nucleotides in length. Their secondary structure includes four short double-helical elements and three loops (D, anti-codon, and T loops). Further hydrogen bonds mediate the characteristic L-shaped molecular structure. tRNAs have two regions of fundamental functional importance: the anti-codon, which is responsible for specific mRNA codon recognition, and the 3' end, to which the tRNAs corresponding amino acid is attached (by aminoacyl-tRNA synthetases). tRNAs cope with the degeneracy of the genetic code in two manners: having more than one tRNA (with a specific anti-codon) for a particular amino acid; and 'wobble' base-pairing, i.e. permitting non-standard base-pairing at the 3rd anti-codon position. The record is from RNAcentral. Lineage: Archaea; Nanobdellati; Nanobdellota.